CAGUAGUGAGGAAAGGUGUAUAGUUAAUAGCAUUACACUGUGACGUUAGCUACAGAAGAAGCACCGGCAAACUCCGUGCCAGCAGCCGCGGUAAUACGGAGGGUGCGAGCGUUAAUCGGAAUUACUGGGCGUAAAGCGCGCGUAGGCGGUUAUUUAAGUGAGGUGUGAAAUCCCUGGGCUCAACCUAGGAACUGCAUUUCAAACUGGAUAACUUGAGUAUGUCAGAGGGUAUUGGAAUUUCCCCGUGUAGCAGUGAAAUGCGUAGAUAUGGGAAGGAACAUCAGUGGCGAAGGCGAAUACCUGGGAUAAUACUGACGCUGAGGUGCGAAAGCGUGGGGAGCAAACGGGAUUAGAUACCCUGGUAG
This 365-nucleotide ribosomal RNA is filed under the name uncultured bacterium. RNAcentral's name for it is "bacterial SSU rRNA". It matches the Rfam family "Bacterial small subunit ribosomal RNA", at positions 434 to 793 of the family's 1533-position model. The record is from RNAcentral.